CGUAGGGGGCGAGCGUUGUCCGGAUUUAUUGGGCGUAAAGAGCUCGUAGGUGGUUUGGUAAGUCGGAUGUGAAAUCUCCAGGCUCAACCUGGAGGGGUCAUUCGAGACUGCCAUGACUAGAGUUCGGUAGAGGAGUGUGGAAUUCCUGGUGGAGCGGUGAAAUGCGCAGAUAUCAGGAGGAACACCCGUAGCGAAGGCGGCACUCUGGGCCGAUACUGACACUGAGGAGCGAAAGCGUGGGGAGCGAACAGGAUUAGAUACCCUGGUAGUCCACGCCGUAAACGUUGGGCACUAGGUGUGGGGUUCUAUCGACGGAUUCCGUGCCGUAGCUAACGCAUUAAGUGCCCCGCCUGGGGAGUACGGCCGCAAGGCUA
RNAcentral lists this ribosomal RNA (374 nucleotides) under uncultured organism. Its description in RNAcentral is "bacterial SSU rRNA". It matches the Rfam family "Bacterial small subunit ribosomal RNA", at positions 526 to 896 of the family's 1533-position model. The record is from RNAcentral.